Molecule: long non-coding RNA, 790 nt
Filed under: Sinocyclocheilus anshuiensis
Lineage: Eukaryota; Metazoa; Chordata; Actinopteri; Cypriniformes; Cyprinidae
Description: lncRNA (ENSSANG00000015422.1)
Source: RNAcentral
GUUUUCAUUCUUUUUCAGGAGGAGAUAAAACAGUCCUGUACGCAGCUGUUGCGAUCGCAGCCGGAUGUGGACUUUUAUUUCUUAUCUGCAUCAUCAUGUUCAUAAGGAAGACAAAAAGUGGAGUUGCAGACGUCAGACAGAAGCAGGUUCAACAGCCUUCCAGCUCUGAGAGGAACCACUGUGAUGAUGGUCUGUAUGCCAGAGUUUCACCCAAGAGACCCAGCGCAGAUCAGACCGCGGGAAAAGCCAAAAAGAUAGUGUACGCAACCUUCCAACACAUCCGAAACAAUGAGAGCAACGAGAAUCUGAGAGUGCACCAUCCUGAUCCUGCUGCGAGAUUCGAUGCGAUGGUGGGUAAAUCAGUGAUUUACAGCAGAAUCAAGUGAUCCAGGACUCGUCACAUGGAUUAAAAUUGAAGCUGAACUCAAUCAGCUGAGUGUAAAUAUACUGCAGCUUUGAAUCAGAUGUUUAUAAUAGUGAUUUAAAUGUGUGUCAAGACACAUGACAUUUCUCCCUGGCAGUAGUUGAAUAGGAAGUACGUACCAAUACCACAAACUAAGAAUGUCCAUGGUGGUUAUUUACAUCAUUGUACCUAGAUAUUUUUAAGACCGUGGUUUGUGAUUGGUGCGUCUGUGUGGGGAAGUUACAACCUCAACUAGCUGCAUUUAAACGCCUGUCGAAACUCUUUCUGUUAAUAGCAUGUUUUGUAAUGUUUCCAAAGAUUUGUGUAAUUUUCCAUGAAUUGCAGUCUCGGUGUUACGUGUCUUAGUCACUCUUCAGUAAGCAUCCG